Molecule: long non-coding RNA, 2498 nt
Organism: Planococcus citri (citrus mealybug)
Lineage: Eukaryota; Metazoa; Arthropoda; Insecta; Hemiptera; Pseudococcidae
Exons: 2
Source: RefSeq, a predicted model, not a curated record
GGGGGGGGGUAUGAAGGAAGGGUUUUCUUGAAAAUAGAAUUAUCUAGAACGAACCAGCAAAAUAUAAAUAGGAGAUUCGUUUAGAAACUAAGUUUCCCUAUUUCAUCAUGAUGCUCGGUUUCAAGCUAAAUGAAUGAAAUUUUGAGGGGGCACAGUGGGCCACAGACCCCCCAAAAACGGCAAUAAUUCGGAUUCAACCCUCAUCGAUGUGCAAUACGUCGAAUAAUACGUUUUCGGGGUCGUGGAAUUCGAAUCUGAACUUAUUUUUUUUGUAGGGGUGGGGGGUGAGGCGUGGGGAGCGGGAAAAUGUCAACUGUUGCUUAUAUUAUCGUGUAAUAUAUCGAUUAAUAUGUUUUCGAGGUCGUAGAGUUCGAAUCUGGCGUUAUUUUUUUUGGUAGAGUUGGAGGGUGAGGCGCGGGGAGGGGGGAUUUCAAAUUUUGCUUGUAUUAUUGUGUAAUAUGUCGAUUGAUAUGUUUUAGAGGUCGUAGAAUUCGAAUCUGCACUUAUUUUUUUUUGUAGGGGUGGGGGUGAGGCGUGGGGAAGUGAAAAAUUCAAAAUUUAAUUUUUGAUGUUUUCUUAUACCACUGAUUUUUAAAGUUUACAGUUUUUUACACAAAAUCAGAACACAUUUUGUAACAAAAUUCAUAUAAUCGCGAAAUAUCGUGUGUUCUCUUCUGCAUAGUGAUGUGUAUUUGGGAGUAGUGUAUACUAUGUUUUAGCGAUUUUUUGCCCGAAAUUGCCCCAUUGCUCUGCAGGUUCAUUUUUCUAUUAAAAAUACAUCAAUUUUCUUCACAAUUGCGGAUAUAUCGCAAUUUUAUGAUCGAAACAUGAUAUAGGUACUCGAUUCAAUUCUGAUUGAAAUACAUUAUUUGAGAUAUAAAAUGAUGUUUUCAAAUCAACGAUAUAAACAACCUCAUAAACAUUACAAACGGCAUCAAAAUUUGGAAUUUUUCACCUCUCCACGCCUCACUUUUAAUCCCUACCAAAAAAAUAACUCCGUAUUCGAACUCUACGACUUCGAAAGCAUAUUAAUCGAUAUAUUACACAAUAAUAUAAGCAAAAUUUGAAAUUUUCACCCUCUCCGCGCCUCACCCCCCACCCCUACAAAAAAAGAAGUGCAGAUUCGAAUUCUACGACCUCGAAAACAUAUCAAUCGACAUAUUACACAAUAAUAUAAGCAAAAUUUGGAAUCCCCCCUCCCCGCGCUUCACCCUCCACCUCUACCAAAAAAAUAACGCCAGAUUCGAACUCUACGACCUCGAAAACAUAUUAAUCGAUAUAUUACACGAUAAUAUAAGCAACAUUUGAAAUUUUCCCGCUCCCCACGCCUCACCCCCCACCCCUACAAAAAAAAUAAGUUCAGAUUCGAAUUCCACGACCUCGAAAACGUAUUAUUCGACGUAUUGCACAUCGAUGAGGGCUGAAUCCGAAUUAUCGCCGUUUUUGGGGGGGGCUGUGGCCCACUGUGGGGAGUAAAGAGACAUCCUAUGUGCUUCAUUUAAGACCAUGUACAUGUUGUUGAAACCUCCAUCCAGAGAUGUGCUUCGCAGUAUCACCAAAUUUUUGAAAAUUGGCGGUAAAAUCCCAACUGAAAUUCAUCCGCAGUUGAAUAGUCAGUGAAAUAUCGUGGGCUGCGUAAUGUCGCGGGCAGUCUAUAUAUGUAUAAACGUGCAUUGCAAGUGUGUAUUGUUGUAAAAAUAAAAAUGUUUCUAAUUUUAUGACUAGUUUGUUGUGAACAAGUCUCCUUAAUUAGACCUUAUCGGCGAAUUUUUCCAAACUGAUAAUAGCUUAUCGUGCUUACGAGUAUGCAUUAUGCAGUGGCAUAUGCGUUAAUGUUCUUGGGUGUUGGUUGGUAUUAAAAUCGUUGCAUUCGAAGUGAAACUUAGGUGUUUAAGGUUGUAUAAAAACAAAAUUUUGCAUUACAUAAAAUAUGGAUACGAGUAAUUUAUAUAGUGUUCAGUACUUAGAUCGCGUGUUCUACUUGGCUUUAGGGACGUUUGUUUUGGGGAUACUUUUAUUCAUUGCACCAUUUGUGAAAGAUCAUUAUAUAAAUCAUCCGUUUUGGCGUUAUCAAUCGUGGCCCUGGUGGGUGAAGAUGUUGAUUGAACUGAAAAGACGACCAGGGUUCAUGUUCUUCUAUAACUGUUUUUCGACGCUAACCUCGUUCCUAUUUAUUGGAAUGAUUCUGCAUUAUGAGAGACUAUUCUAUCAAACCGCCGAAACUGGAACAUCCGUUAAUACUAUUUAACAUCUACAAUCUACAAUUUAUUAGAAGAAUUGAAAUUGACUUGUUUUCCAAAGCAUUAUUCAAUGAUGUUAACGAAAAGCAAUUUGAUGUGUCAUACGUGUAUUUAAAAAAAGUAUCUGUUUCUGUUUAGUAAGUGUGCAUUAAUUUAAAAUUUUAUAUUUUUUUGUAACUCAUCAUAUUGUAAGGUACCUACUUGCUAUGUUUGUAUCAUAUUUUUGAUGUUUUUUAUGAAUAAAAAAAUAAGAAAUUA